RNAcentral lists this unclassified non-coding RNA (131 nucleotides) under plant metagenome. RNAcentral describes it as "partial contains 5.8S ribosomal RNA, internal transcribed spacer 2, and large subunit ribosomal RNA". The record is from RNAcentral.
GGCGAACCGGAUGUCACCGAUGCUUUCCCGGAGGAUCCGACGGAAAGCGCCGACAGCGACGGUGACGGGACGGGUGACAACGCAGACACGGAUGAUGACGAGGACCUCGUCCUCGAUGUGACCGACGAGUG